GACGGGUAUCCGGCCUGAGAGGGUGAUCGGACACACUGGAACUGAGACACGGUCCAGACUCCUACGGGAGGCAGCAGUAGGGAAUAUUGCUCAAUGGGCGAAAGCCUGAAGCAGCAACGCCGCGUGGAGGAUGAAGGUUUUAGAAUUGUAAACUCCUUUUCUAAGAGAAGAUUAUGACGGUAUCUUAGGAAUAAGCACCGGCUAACUCCGUGCCAGCAGCCGCGGUAAUACGGAGGGUGCAAGCGUUACUCGGAAUCACUGGGCGUAAAGAGCGCGUAGGCGGGGUAGCAAGUCAGAUGUGAAAUCCUAUGGCUUAACUAUAGAACUGCAUUUGAAACUGUUACUCUA
This 348-nucleotide ribosomal RNA is filed under the name uncultured Helicobacter sp. Its description in RNAcentral is "bacterial SSU rRNA". It matches the Rfam family "Bacterial small subunit ribosomal RNA", at positions 278 to 643 of the family's 1533-position model. The record is from RNAcentral. Lineage: Bacteria; Pseudomonadati; Campylobacterota; Epsilonproteobacteria; Campylobacterales; Helicobacteraceae.